RNAcentral lists this long non-coding RNA (6361 nucleotides) under Nicotiana tabacum (common tobacco). RNAcentral describes it as "long non-coding RNA (NTAB_LNC011840)". Lineage: Eukaryota; Viridiplantae; Streptophyta; Magnoliopsida; Solanales; Solanaceae. The record is from RNAcentral.
UGAUUACAAACUAAGAUAAGAUUCAGUAUUAAUCUAGCUACAAAUUACUCAAAAUGGAAUAAAACAACUGUUCACGUGCUCUGGGAUCUAACAUAUUACAAAAGAUAACCUAAAAAUGUAAAAAGAAAGUAUUUAUAUUAGGCCAAAUUUUUUGGACAAAAAUACCCCUGCAGAGGUACCGCGGACCGCGAAAAAUGUAUCGCGGCCACGGUGAGGCUUUUUAGCUUGACUUUAUGGGUCUCUGAAUCUAGCCACCGCGGACCGCAUAAAAUGCUCCACGGCUGCGAUGGCUUCAUCGCGGUCCGUACAAAAUGCUCCGCGGACCGCACUGGCUUUAAUUGUCCAAACUACCAACUCUCUGAAUCCUCUCUCCACGGAUCGCAUGAAAUGAAUUGCGGUCGCGAAGAGGGUACUGCGGUCCGCACAAAAUGGGUUGUGGCCGCAGUGCUUGAGCUUCCAAAAUCUGCACCUCUCUGAAUCUCCUCACUACGGACCGCACUNNNNNNNNNNNNNNNNNNNNNNNNNAAAUGGAUUGCGGCCGCGGUGGGUCUGUUGCAACUGUGCUUUGACUUGUUCUUGGUACUUAUGCAUGUUUCACUCCUUUUUAGCUAAUUUUGACUACUUGUCACCUUUUUGACCAAACCCUGCAAGCAAGCACAACAUGUAAGUCUUUUGGGACUAUUUGUAUACAUUUUUAAUCAAAACUCAAGUAAAACGGAAAUGAACUAGAAUCCCUAAUUAUCACGGCCUCUCCUUCGCCGACAUGCUACUGCAUCUGCAGUCCCAACUGGUGGAACAUAUAUCGUCCAAUAACCUGCACAACAUGUAAAAUAUUAAUUUAGAAAUGGUAAUAUUAACGUUAUUACUAAGUAUUCAUUAAAUGGUAAUGUUACCAAAUAACAUACCAACGCCUCAUGCCUCCUGGCGUAUGGAACGAAUCGACCUCUAGCGUGAUGAACGGGAUUCCCGAAGAUAAGUCAAGUAAUGUUGUGGUACCAGCCGAUAUACGCAUGCUCAUAAUCCAUAAGAUGGGCUGGAGGGGGUGGUGGAAUCAGGUCAUGCCACUGGUCCCAACUCUCGAUCUGCGCCUCUAGCCGUGACUCAUAUGCCUGGUCAACCUUCGAACGAUCAUCCCGCUGGUAAUGAGUCCUAACCUAAGCGGGCGGUGGAGGUACAUACUGCGGUCGACCAAACUGGCGAAGGACUCGCUCGGUGGCAUGAUGCUCGACAAUAUCGAGACAUACGAACGGGGCGGAAGAACUCCACAUAAGUCGCCCGGUCGAGCAAUAAUCGGGAAAACUAGCUAUUAGCGCGUCGCUAUAGGGCGUCCAAAUGAACUAUCACGGAAAAAUAGGAACCGUGAGUAUACGCAACACAUAUAAAUCCAAUCCAAAUAAACUUUAAGUAUAGAAUUACAUGCACGUCCUCUAGCAUAUCUAACAAAUCUCUGCAAUACAGGAGAUUAUGUCGAGCCUCGUACUCGCGUCUGUAUCUCCGCCUCUCAACCCACCUCCUAGCCAAAGGGAGAAACGGUGGAAGUGGUGCAUCCUGAGCUAUGGGUGGUAGAGGUGGCUGAAACUGCAGGAACCGCUCCCAGGCCCAAACCUAAUAUACAAUUUGGACGUAAAAUUUAAGGUAUAUUUUUAUGAUGUAUGUUAUAAUGAAGAGAUUAUUUGUCUAUGUUUUCAUCUGCAGCAGCGGCAUAAAUCCUGCAACGUCUCGCUGGGUGCCCAUGCAUGCCCGACACAUAUGCCGGUCCAAGUAACCGUCAACGAAAUACGACUAGACCCAACCAAUACACCCUCAUCCUCUGGCCGGAAACCAGUGAGUCGCUGCAAAGUCUCCAAGUACUGAGCUCUCGUAUAAUCUCUCAUGCCUCGUGGCAAAGCAACAACAAGUCCAUCAACCAACAGCCCAUGGUUAAAUGGAAUAUAUGCGUCUCUGGUCGCCACCGCUCUAUCAAAGCCGUGAGCAGCGACCAAUCCAGCUGCAGUCGGCCAAUCUCAAUGAUCCUAUAAAAGCCCGUAUCCUGCAGGAGUCUGACUACAGGGGGAUGGAGCUGGCGUUCCUUAAGAAAGUCCCAGACAUCGUCUAUCCUCCUAGAACGUAAAGUUUGGGCCAAUAACUCCCUCUCCCAUAUGUAGGAAGACAUAUUCUCGGCAUGUAGCUGUAGUAGCUCUAGAGAGGCAGGUCCCGGAUGCAAAAGCGGAACCGCCAUGACGACUACUGUAAAUUGAACAAAAUUAAUUACAUUAUUUUUCUUUUCCACUGCUUAAAUAUAUUGCAAUACCUUGAAUAUUAAAUUUUAUUCGAUAUAUUUACUAUAUUGUUAAUUAGGUUGAUACAUUUUCAAUAUUAUACUUUUAUUUUUUUAUACGUUACUUUAAUAUGUUAGUUUUAUUAUUUUAUAUGUUUGUUAGUUAUUCACCUAUUUUUUUAGUACACAUGAUUUAAUUAUUAAAUAUUCAUAUUUUGGUUCCGGACACAAUAUUUUAGGCCCAGUAACACCAAUAUAUCCUGAAUUCUUAUGUUCAUGAUGAAAUUUUUUUUCCGAUUUUUCACUCAAUAGGUCUGUUAUUUUAUAUGUUAUGUUAUUAUUAUAUAUGUUAGUUUUAUUAUUUAAUAUGUUAGUUUAUUAUUGUAUAUGUUAGUUUUAUUAUUUAAUAUGUUUGUUAGUUAUUCACCUAUUUUUUACUACACAUGAUUUAAUUAUUAAAUAUUCACAUUUUGGUUUCGGACACUAUAUUUGAGGCCCAAUAGCACCAAUGUAUCUUGAAUUCUUAUAUUCAUGAUGAGAAUUUUUUUCCAAUUUUUCACUCAAUAGGUCUGUUAUUUUAUAUGUUAGUUUAUUAUUGUAUAAGUUAGUUUUGUUAUUGUAUAUGUUAGUUUUAUUAUUUAAUAUGUUAGUUUUAUUAUUUUAUAUAUUAGUUUUAUUAUUUAAUAUGUUAGUUUUAUUAUUUUAUAUGUUAGUUUUAUUAUUUAAUAUAUUACUUUUAUUAUUUAAUAUGUUAUUUAUUAUUGUAUAUGUUUAUUUGUUUGUUAUUGACUUAUUUUUUACUAUACUAAAAUUAAAUAAUUAAUUUUCAUAACUAUACAAGAUUUAAUUAUUAAAUAAUUACAUUUUGGUUCCAGACACAAUAUUUGAGGCCCGGUAGCACCAAUGUAUCCUGAAUUCUUAUGUUCUUACGUUUGUUCACUAUAAUUGGAGAUAAUUUAUGUUUGAAUAUCAGUUUUUUGACGUAUUUUUGAGAAUAAGAGAUACUUAAAUAAUUCAUUUCUAUAACUACAAGGAUACUACACUAAAGGGCACUACAUUUUACUAUGCUAAAAGGUCACUAUAUUACAAAUAUGAAUACUACAUUAGGCCACAAGAUACCACUACAGGGUACUAAAGUAAAAAUUUAUCUAGUUUACUAGUCUUUUAGCAAAUUAAUAAUCUAAGCUGGAUAAAAAUAACAAAUCAAUUUAAUCACAAAACAAUCAAGAAAUUACAUAUACCACAGUAAAAAGUAACUAAUCAAUAUUUUUUAACAACUAAUAACAAUUUCCCUAUUGUACAAAUUAUUUUAGCACACUAAUACUAUAAUCCGGAUAAAAAACAACAAAUUAAUUAAAUCAUAAAACAGUCACAAAAUAACAUAGAGCACAUAAAAAAUAACUAAUAUGCAUUUUUAUACAAGUUUUAUCAAAAACGAAAUCGAAAUACCUCAAUUUGAGGUUUUAGGAAAGUCGAAUAUUUUGUGAUUUUGAGCCGAAACAACCAACAGCGUCCAAGAUUACUCCUUAGCUAGCGCAUGGGACCGAGAAUCUAUACUUUAUGUGGGACGGGUGGGCUCCACUCAAGCUUUUAGUAUUUAAAAAUGGAGAAGAGGGGACCGUUCUGUUUCUCUUUUGGGGGAAGGGAAGAAGACGUUAUAUUAUAACGUCUUAAUAAAAGACGCUAUAUUUUUCCGCUUUUUUUUAAUUCAAAUAUAGCGUCUUUUUAAAAGACGCUAUAUAUACUUUGGUAACUAUUUUUUUGCACACCUUUCGGUCAUUUAAGUCAAAAGGAAUCACAUUUUUGUUCCGGAUUCCAUUGAAGAAUGAGUAAUGGAAGGCAGUAAAUGCCAUAUUCUCUAUAACGGACUAUGUACUUAAUGCAAUAGAAUAUUCUUCAUUAAAUGUCGCCGGGUGUCAGGGAUUUAUUUCGCCUUUAAGAUCAUCAUUCCCUUCGGGGUCAAGCGAGAUUGUCGUCUUCAGACCUGGUUGCCUUCUGCCUUCGGUUACACGUGUCGCUUUAUUAUGCUUGCAUUUAGUAUGAACAUAUUUUACCCUAUACAGCUAGUCCUCCUGCUUUCCGGUGGCACAUCUUUGUAUUUGUCACACCUCCUUUUUCUACCUACACCCCGGAAAGGGUAUAAGUAAAGGGAGUUUUUCCAAUUAAAGGACAAUCAAAACGAGAUUUAUUAUAAAGAUUCAGAGUCGCCACUUGGGAGAUUUAUGAUGUCCCAAGUCACAGGUUGAAUCCCGAAUCGAGGAAAAUAUUGACUCUGUUUAACAGUCCGCGAUCCAGAAAUCCGGGUAAGAAAUUCUGUUAACUCGGGAGAAGGUGUUAGGCAUUCCCAAGUUCCGUGGUUCUAGCACGGUCGCUCAACGGUUAUAUUCGGCUUGAUUAUCCAAUUUAAGAACUUAUGUGCAAAUUUAACCGUUUAACCACUUUUAUUUAAUUUUUAAAGAAGAUUGAACGUCGUUUAAAACAUAUCUUUGAAUCGCGCCACAUGAAAUGCACCCGCAAUUCUAAACAUAUUUUAUUCAACGUUUUGGGAUUUGAUUUGGGUCACAUGAAAUGCACACCCGAGUUUAAGAAGGUAAUAUUAUUAAACUAACGAGUCGAAAGUAAUUACGAAUUUGCAAUUUCGCUAGAGCCAUGAAAAUUCGCUAAAUGGCGUGCCUCGAAUUCUAAGGAUAAAAACGAAGUGGGUUAAAAUAAGGGCCAUGCACUUGAGAUUUCAUUUGGCAUGGCACGCUUCGAAUUAUUCUAAAAGGUUUUACUCAACUGAAGCAAACCACGGAUAUUCAUGAAUUAUUUUUCUAAGACUAGUUUGAAACUAUUAUGAGGCUAUAAAUUAUUAAGCCUGUAUUGUUCAGUUGCAGAACUAUCAACAAAACACCAUAAAACUAUAUAUAUGUAUCCCUAAAGCAAUGUUUAUUUACUAACAAUGACGAUCAGAAGAGUUAUGGCAAGAAUUAACUUCUUAUUACAUUUUUAAAAAGUAGCCACUAGAAGAAAAAGGAAAAUUAUAGACUAAAGUUCAAAUACGACAAUAACACUGCGAUUAAUCAAUAAACAAAUAGAAUGGAGAAAUCAGAUUAACUACAGACAAAAUAUUUCACUGUUCCAAAUCCACAAGAUGCCAAACUGCCAAAUUGAACCCCUCCAUUAACACCUAGCUAGAGUUAUAUCACAGUUCCUUUAGUAUUAGAAGACCAGAUCUCAUUAAGGACACAAAACGAACGUAGCAUUGAACAAAGCGUAAGCAGCAAAAGAGACGAUUGAAACAACAGAUCAAAUAAAGGAACGGACCUUCAAAAGAAAGCUUUCUUCAUUAAGAAUGAUCCUUCAGCAGACAUUUGCAGCGUCAGUUAUUUGACACGAACAAAGAUCGAAAUCGGCGCCGGAAACCUCAACAAACCUCGUCGUCACCUCGAAUUCAAACCGGAAUCAACCUCGGCUCAUCUCGUUGGACCUGGACUCGAACUCAGCUCUUGAAAGAAGGCGAGCGUGAAGAAAACGCCAGGUGAAGAAGACUGCGAUUUGGAUUUUGAAAUUUGAAUGACUGUAUUUUAGCGUUGAAAAGAAAGAGAGUUUUGGCUGCUUUGGUGAAAGAGAGUGGUGUGAGGUUAGGUCGUUUGGUAUCAAGCUUCGCCGGAAAUGGUAGCUUCGCGGUGAACGGAGGUCCAGCGACGAUGGUAAGCUGGGUGAGGUCGCUUGGUUCUAUUUGUCGCGUCUGGAACUCGUUAAUUCGACGAGCUGGUGGAGCUCGUUUUUCCGGCGAGUUUCAGACAGAGACGGGGUCGUUUGACGAUUAACGUUCAGGGGUCGUUGGUGUUUUGUCCGGCGAGCUGGGUUGACGGGGAGAUGUAGAGGGUCGGCGCCUGGGUGAUCGGCGUGAGGUCAGGCGCGGGGUGUGGUGAUUUUCGGCAAAGGGUCACUGUUUUUGGGUUGUUCUGCUGCGCAGCCUUUAGCUUUUUAGCCUUCCCAUUUCUUCGUUUCUUUCUUCGUUCAUGCGCAGCUUUUGUUCAUAUCCCCCCUCUCUGUUAGGUGUUAGCUUCUUAUAUAUACAUAGGUCUAGGUUAGUUUUGUAGGGUUUUUAGGUUAAGG